Long non-coding RNA from Puntigrus tetrazona (Sumatra barb), 6626 nucleotides. RefSeq lists it as uncharacterized. The record is from RefSeq and is a predicted model, not a curated record. NCBI's taxonomy places the organism in Eukaryota, Metazoa, Chordata, Actinopteri, Cypriniformes, Cyprinidae. The transcript is spliced from 6 exons.
ACACACACACACACACAGUACACAAACAAAACUUUUAUUUGGUGCAAUUAAUCACAACGACUGUUUUGACACAAGUUAAUUAAUAAUCAGAAAGAUUAAUUGAAAUCAUGAAACUACAUUUCAACAAUAAUAUUUUUAAAUCCAUAUGAAAUGCAUUUAAUUUUUCCCCAAAUUCAGUUAAUUUUUUUUUUUUUUUAAAGAAUCCAGUUUCUGUUUUUGGUUUUAGUUUUUUGGGGAUUUCUCUAUAAUGGUUCAAUUAAAUUUGAAUAAAAUUUUAGGUUUAAUUCUAAUUGCUCAUGAAUGAAUUCAACAGCAGUGAACGAAUGGUCGGUAUGAACUGAAUGUGAGGUGUAUUCGACUCGAACUCCUGGUGUUUUCGCUCUUCUCCUCACAUCCUUUCAUUUUCUCAAAAAGCCUUGUUAGUGUCACCUCUCAUUAAACUAAAGUGUUUGUCCGGUCGGGCCGCGUGAUGCGUGCACUUCACCCUUACUCUACAGCGAGUAAGAAAUACUCUGAUGAUGAUGAUGAUAAUAAUAAUAUUCAGUUGAGCAGAACUUUUAUCGUUAUUAAAAUAAAUGUAAUUAUAUAAAUAAAUUGAAACUUAAAAAUUUAUAAAAACUGAAAUGUUAAUUAAAAUUGAAAUGAAAAUGGUAGUUAUGUGUGCUGAUUUGAAACUGCUUUAUAUUCUGUAUAUAAUUAUAUUGACUUAUUUUUUUGUGUGCUCUGAGCAGAGUUAUUAUAGUGAAAAUAAAUUAAAAAAAUUAUUUAUCCAAAUCAAUAUUUAGAUUUUGGUCUUAAAAACUAAAAUUCAAAAUCAAACGAUAUAGGCAUUAAAAAAAGAAACCGAUUACUAAAAUGUACUCUAAGAUAAGGAGUGUGUGUUUGAGGAUGACGGAGUAAGUUCGCCGUCUGUUUGGUGUUUAAAGCGCUAUAAAUAAAGCUCUAAUGUGUUCCUCCAGACUCUGGACUUUUGCUUUCAGUUUCAGCUGGACCAAUCAGGUGCUGGAAAACCCCCGCCGCCGAAGAUGCCCUUCAUCGCUCAUCAGGACGGAGCCGGAGGGGAACGGCCGCUUUGAAGAAGUAGAAAAGUCUGAUUUGCUGAAAUCAAAAACAGGGACGACGGUAACCGACCGCCAGCCAAUAAGAUUGUCGUUAGCGCAUUAGCCCCGCCCACCAGCAGAAAACAGCGGUUCAUAAAAACCCAAGAGAUCCAAAGAAACUGGUUGACAUGUUUAUUUGAGUGUGUGUGUUCAGAUGAACGGAGCCGGUCACAUGAAAUUACUGGGAAAAUAACACCGUUAUUAAUAUUACAGGAAAUAAAGUUUACGGUAGGAAAUGUUCACAGUAUCCUCACAGAACAUGAACUUUUCUGAAUACGGGGUAUAGUUGUCUGUAGCCGUGCUGUUAUGAGUGUGUCCGUGUUUCAGAGACACACAGAAAGCUGGACUCGGGCCCCAGGUGGCUCCAAUCAGGGGCCCUUCUGAGUCUGUGUUUGCUUUAGACGCUCGUAUUUCUUCUGGAGGAGCCACUGGUUUCUGAAAGACAGCUGAGAUCUCCUCCAUAAAGUACAUUACACAAACAUUUUCAGGCAAGUGCUUAAUUAUGACUGUGAGUAAUCAUAACCACAGUUAUUACGCAUUUCUAUUCAUUAUUAAACUUUUGGAAAGAAUAGUGCAUUAAAAUAGAGCACCAUUUCAGACGAAUCUGCAAACAUUGAUGCAUUUUUACUGUUUUCAUAAGGGUUUAUAAAAAAAAAUGAAGCAAACAAACAUUAAAUUAAACAUAAAUUUUUUAAAAUGAUUUUAAGUUGAAAAAUGACAUGUAAUCUUUUGCAAAAUGUGCUCUAAUAUAUGUACCAUCCUUUAUAUAUUAUGUAUUACAGAAAUAUUUUAGCGCCUUAUAAUGCAUGGUAUAAGCUCAUGAAUAAUUAUAAUACAUAUUUAUUAAUUCAUGACAGCUUUAGAUAUUAUAAUGCAUCUUAACUUUUACUAUAAUGAUUUCUGAAAACCUUUUUUAUAUUACAUUCUACUAAAUACUUUCAGUGUUACUGUGUCGUCAUUUAUAUAUAAAUAAUAUAUUUUGUUUUAUUUGAUAUACAAAGUAAACAGAAGUAGAUGAAUAAAAAUAUACAGACGUAGGCUAUUUAACAAGAAAGUGUUAUUAAAAACAGCAGUACAAAAAUAUAACAGAUUACAAAAAACAACAAGUGACACUGAAUUAAAAAUGAAAUAAAACUCAGUUAAUCUUUGUGUUAUUGCUUUAAAAGCCUUUUCCAGACUUCAGCCGAAGUGUGUUCACUCCUGAUCCGCUUCCGUUCACACACACUUCAGUUCCUCGGGAGCGAUGAGGAUGAUGAUGAUGAUGAAGAGCACCGGGGUGUCUUCACUGAAUAUAGAAACACUUCAGAAGAACAAAAACAUUAAAUGCUUUCGUCUUGGCGUCAGCCAGCAGGGAUCCAUAAAAUACUUGAAUUAGUCAUAGAACCAGUCUGUGAGUGAUUCAGACUCAUGAUCUCCACACAUCCACCCAGAAUCAGUUUACAUGAUUCACGUUCAUUAAUUCAUUUAUUCAUUCAGCAGACACUCGUCCAAGAUGAGGAGCAUCGCAAGCAAUUUCCAACCACAUAGCAACACCCUGCAAACAUACAACAGCAGCUUGCAAACCAUAGCAACACCCUGCAAACACAAAACAACACUAUGACAACCAUAGCAACGCCCUGCCAACCAUAAUAUUAUUCUAGCAACCAUAACAACACCCUAGAGAAAACAUAACAACACCUUGCCAACCAAAGCAACACCCUGCCAACCAUAACAUCAUUCUAGCAACCAAAGGAAUACCCUGGCAACCAAAGGAAUACCCUAGCAACCAAAGGAAUACCCUGGCAAACUCGCAGCAACACCCUGCAAACCAUAACAACACCCUGGAAACAUAUAACAACACUCUGCCAACCAUAGCAACGCCCUGCCAACCAUAACAUCAUUCUAGCAACCAUAACAACACUAUGCCAACCAAAGCAACACCCUAGCAACCACAGUAACACCCUGGGAAACACUUAACAACACUAUACCAACCACAGUUACACCCUGGCAAACACAGAACAACACUAUGCCAACGCCCUGCCAACCAUAACAUCAUUCUAACAACCAUAACAACAUCCUGCCAACCAAAGCAACACCCUGCAAACUAUAGGAACACCCUGGUAACCACAGUAACACCCUGGCAAACAAAUAACAACACUUUGCCAACCAUAGCAACACCCUGGAAACCACAUAAGAAUACCCAGCCAAACAUAGCAACACCCUGACAACCAUAACAACAUCCUAGCAACCAUAACAGCACCCUAGACACCAUUACAACACCCUGGUAACCUUAACAAAAUGCUGACAACUGUAGCAACACCCUAGUUACCAUAACAACACCCUGACAAACAUACAGCAACACCCUGUCUACCUGGCAAGCACAUAAUAAAAUCCAGGUAACUAUAUAACUCAUAGAAAACCAUUCAAACACAUUAGUAACAACAGAAAAACCACCAAACAGCAUAGUAACAUACUGGCAGAAAGAAAACCAUAGAAACACCCUGGCAACUGCAUAAUAAUACCUUGGUAACCAUAACAACUCCCUGGCAACCACAUAGCAACACAGAAAAUCACAGAAGCACCCUAGCAACCACUUUGUACCCCAAAGGCAUGUUCAUGUUUUCCUGUGGAUGAACCGUUGAACACCGUGAUCCGUUCAGAAAGUGUUGGUGUGUGACCCGUGUGACCUCCAGAAAGUGAGACUGAACUCCUGUCUUACUCACAAAGACUCGUUCAGCGUGACUCAAGUUCAGCUCAUGAAUCUCCACGUCUGCUUACAAUUUACUGACUGCAGGAACUUCCUGUGCCUCCCGUUAGCGCCGAAAACAUGGGAAACCGCUGACACACUGCAACAGAGACUCCAGUUUGAAGGAGCGUCUCAGGAACGUCAUGAACUCAUCAGGGACUGGAGGAGGUCAUGAGAAACAUCUCCACUGGCAGAUCUACAGAAAAGCUUUUGUUGCGGAGGGAAUCUGAGUUAGUUACAGUAAACACGCUCGCAGCGGCCGUCAGGGGUUAGUGAAGACCACCUGUCCAAACAGUGUGUGAGCGUCUGGAGGAGAGGAACCUCACGUGAACGAAGAAGUUCAUUCUGACGACACGCUGGAAAGAAAAGUCCUCUGAAACAGAUAUGAGCGGAAACUGAUGGUUCCUUUAACAUGAUGAACAGGAUCAGGGAGCCGGGAAAGACUGAAAAGACCCGGAUGUUCCCGCAUGAAACUAAACUCCAAAAGUCGGUGAAAACGAGGUACUUUCUGAAACACAGCUGAGGUCUGGAGCAUCCUUCCAGACCCGUGCGCCUUCGCUCAGGAGUAGAUCGGACCGCCUCGGAUCCGGUCCAUUCCCACGAAUCUCAGCUUCUCACAAACACUUGAGGACUGAAAACAAACACAAGCGGCAGGCCGAGAGAGCGGGACGGGAGCAGAGUAAACCGAGCGCAGCUCUUUGUUCAUGUUUACAGAAUUCCAGUUUCAGAGCUGCAGGGUGAAGCAGAAGAACAAAGAGCGAGAUCCUGCGAAGAUCCGCCUGGAGGAGCGUCUCUGAAGCGUGAAGUGUGUUCGACGGCCUCGCUGAACUCUCACUCUUUUCAUUCUUCUUUAAUCGCCAGGCUCGGGUGAACAUGACGAAGCAGCAGAGAGUCGACUGAUCCAGCAAUCUACUGAAACAUCCUCUGGAUUAGUGCUUCUAGUCUUCUAGUGGAAACAUCUGAACCAUCUUCAGUGAAAGCUGUAAAACCCGAGCACCUGAACAGGACGGACUGGUACUCGUGACUCAGUGACACGUCUCUCACGCUUUUCCUCAUUCUUCAGCCUGAUGAUGAUGAUGAUGAUGAUGAUGAUGAUGACGAAGGUGAUGAAGAUGAACGCGGCUAUUGUCUCGGAGAUUGAGCGGAAAACAAAGCCUCUCUUCAAACGCUCAUCUCGUUUCUGGUAAUUACACGUUCGUGUGAAAACAAGACUGUCCUACACAUCACAAGGACUUACAGUAAUUGUAUAAAUAACGCCGCUGCUAUUAUAAAGCAUAAUUACCAGCUUCACACGUACACAAACACAUCCAGAGCUAUCAGCUUCUCCUUGAUCUUCACUGAGCUCCGGAAGAAGAGCGGGCUGUGACAUCACCGGUGACAUCACUGAGAGAGAUAUUGUUAUACCAGCGGAGAUUAUUCGAUGGAGCUGAAGCAGACAGAAAACCCGGUUACUCAUUCCACUCGUGAAGAGGCGUUUACAUCGAAAAAACCAAAUCAGACCUCAGAGAGGAGGGGAUCUUACACAGCCCAAAGAAAGCCCGGCGUGAUGAAGUGUUCAGAUAUAACCUUACACCUGCAACGGAGAGGAAUUACAUAAACAAAGAGUGAUGAAAAAAUGAGUUCAGGUGACUUAAAUAUCUGGAGUAAAUGAAGUUAACUAAACUUGUCUUUUUAAGUUGAGCAUAAUCUCAAUCUUUAUUAUCAUUAUUUGCUUAUUUUUAAUCAUAGCAAUAUAUAUACAGUAUAUAUAUAUAUAUAUAGUUCGUACAUUUCUGAGGCUCUUGCAGCAAAAGUGCACUUCUUUUCUGUCCGACUUUUAAUGCACGUGAAAAUGUGCUGAGAAUUGAUCAAAUGAUCUCAGAUUCAGACAGAAAUUCAAGACUUCUUGCAAACUGCAAGCAAAAAAACAUCAAGGCGUCGUUACAUGAGCAAACACUGGACAGUUAUUAGACGGUUUAUUAACGUUAUUCAGAGCACAGCGCAUUGAGUAUUAUUCAUUCUAAAUGAAUUACCUUUAUUGUGAAGUGUUGCCAUAUUUUGUAAUAAAGAGUGACUUUAUUAAAACGAGCAAAAAUGCAAGCAAGACAGAACAAGACAAUGCUUUAAAGUGAGACGAUUUCAUAUAGAAAACGAGAGAAAAACUCUAAUAAAGUGUAAUAAAGUGAUGAUAUCAUCUGAAAGCUGAAAUCAGCGGGAAGCAGCCGAACAAACAGCAGCGCGUCGGAGAACUUGGUGUUCCGUGUUUGUGCUGCACACUUCCUGUGAGCUACUUCCUGUUUGGACAGGCCUGAUGGGCAUUGUGCUGGAGGCGCUCUCUGCCAGCCCACAUCAUUCCUCAGAUCAGCUCAUAACUCAUAACUUCAUCAUCAGCGCAGGACCUUCUUCAGGAGCUGCCUGCAUCUGCUCGGACUUCUUCUAGAAGAAAUAUCCACACAUUCUUCACUCAAGAUGCAUUUAAUCUACAAGUAAAUGGGCAUCCACUGUGUUUCUUUUCAGACUUUUGGAAAGAAAACAUCCAAAAUACACUACACUUUUACUUUUAAAGCACUUCAUGUAUUUGUGUCGAUAGAUUUCAAUUCAAAUACAUAUUUUUGAACAUUUUUCUAUUACGCUGUGUUUCAGCGGCACUCAGACACACCGAACUCUACACAGUCUAUAUCCUGAAGAUUUUUACAGAGGUGUUUGUUUAUGUAUAAUUUGCUUGAUAUUAUGUUUUCUAUCCGUUCGAAGCAAAAACGAGAUUUAAUCAAAACUUUCAGUGAAAUAAAAGAAUUCUGAGACUGACGUCAUCCAGCAUUUAU